AAGGUCAUAAUCAAUUUUUUUUUCUUUUUUAGUCUCGAAAGUGUUUGAGAAUUAAAUCGUGCGCAUGGUCUCCAAUUACAAUAUUGGCAUGGCUCUGGGUUGGUGAAAAUCAUGUUCUGGUGGGCUUAGCUUAUUAAUUAAUCUGGGUUUUGCUUCACUCGUAUUCAAAUUGUUUAAGGUGUUGCAUAUAAAGAUCCAAAAGGAUGUCUGGGUUUUUUUACUUCCACACUUUUGCGUGUGUUUGUGUGUCUGUGGGCCAAGUGAAGGGGUGGGGGCAGGGGCAGCAGCAGCAGCAGCUCUGCGUGGUUUGCGCCAUGGACAAAUUUCACAGAUUGGGCAAUUGACCUCCCUCGUGUGUAUGUGUGUGUGUGUGGUUUGCGCCAUGGACAAAUUUCACAGAUUGGGCAAUUGACCUCCCUCUGUGUAUGUGUGUGUGUGUAUGUGCGUGCGUGGUGUAUUUUGGUUCAACAUUGACAGCAGCGAACUUAACAUCUGUUGUCUCCAAUUCAGCCAUUAAAACUGUCCUCCAAGAAAUUUACUCUGAUAAUUUUGUGGUCUUAUGCUCAAG
Molecule: long non-coding RNA, 568 nt
Filed under: Amborella trichopoda
Lineage: Eukaryota; Viridiplantae; Streptophyta; Magnoliopsida; Amborellales; Amborellaceae
Description: long non-coding RNA (ATRI_LNC003741)
Source: RNAcentral